This is a long non-coding RNA of Pan troglodytes (chimpanzee), 2291 nucleotides long. RefSeq lists it as uncharacterized. The record is from RefSeq and is a predicted model, not a curated record. The transcript is spliced from 7 exons. Lineage: Eukaryota; Metazoa; Chordata; Mammalia; Primates; Hominidae.
AGUAAAUAGCAACCUCCCUGACAAAUGACAGUAGCCUGAAAAAGUGAGGAAGUACAAUGUCAGAUGAUAUCGCCUGGAAAACGACAGUGCACAGAGAGAAACAAGAUGUACGAGGUUCAUAGAAAAAAUGCGAUUAAAUAACCACACAUGGAGGUUGUAUGAAGAAGAAAUUCACAAAAGAUUCCAAUUAUACAUAUAUAGGAGGUAGCAGACACUUUCUCACUACAUACUAUUGUGGACUUCUCAAAUGGAAAAUGACAGGCAUAUCUAUUAGACAGAAUUGAGGCACCAACAUGCAAAUUGUACAGUUGUUCUGGGCAACAAUUUCUUCCUAUGAUAAUAACCCUGGAUGUGGGCUCUUGCUGUAAACGACAUCACAAGACCAUCAAGCACUUUCAAGUCCAGCCGAAGUAGAGUGAAAGAAAAUCAUUUCUGAGAGUUAUGAAAGGUCAUGAGUGAGGAAAUGCAUUCCAGGUACUCCAGAAGGUGUUUGGACACACACGGUGAAUGACACAUGAAGAUGGAGGCAGAGAUCGGAAUGAUGUGUCUACAAGCGAUGGUCCACCAAAGAUGAUCAGCAAACCACCGGAAGCUGGGAUAGAGGCCUGGAACAGAGCCUCCCUCACAUCCCUCAGAAGGAACCAACCCUGCCAACACCUUAAUCUCACACUUCUAGCCUACAGAAUUCUGAGACAACACAUUUCUGUUGUGUACACAGAGACACAUAUUAAAUAAACCUGCUACAAGAGUAACCCGUCCAGAAAUGCAGCAAGAGGCUUCCAAAGGGCCAGAUUUAUUACAAAUUAAUCAAAUAGCAGAUCAUCUCUCCAAAUCAUCACUUCUAUCAAGCCUAUCGCUUGAGCAGUGUUACAGCACUCAGCCCUCAGGGCAAAGAUAAGUCUUCACCAUUGUCACAUGUAGCACACACAUAUUCAGCCAUAUCAUGCUGAAUGGGAAUACAGGACUUUGUAGAAACAGAACUGAUUCCUGCAGAAUAUCCUGAGAUACUUAUCAAGCUGUUAAAGGAGACAUCAGUCUUUUGUCUGUAUUGCCCUUGACACCUCCUCAAGGAAAGUAUCUAGAAAUUCUUUGUCUUCUGAAGAACCCUCAGACCUCUUAGGUCUAAUGUAGGUUAAGUGCCCUGCAGAUCUCCCUAGAAUAGAAAAGCACCUUGAAAACUGUAGUCUGACUUAAUAGACACAAAUAUAAUGAAAGCACUAAUUCAUAAGAUCCUGUUAUUUGAAGGAAAAAGCAGCAAAAGGCACAAGCUUCAGAUAUUGGUCUUGCACAGGGAAAAGCUGGAAUUCUACCCUAAAAUUUAUCAGAUACAACAAUGACCUCUAAAAAUCCAACAAGGGUAAAAUGUAUAAAGGUAAAUUACCACAUUAUCAUCCAAUUAUCAUUGCUUGUUUUGUCAAGGGUAAAUGACUAUCUAGCAGCAUUCAGCGUUUGCUUAUUGAUUAAUGCGUACAGUACCAGCACCUCUCUGCACAGCGGUCCUCGCCUUGCCUCCCACUCAAUAGCUGUGUUGAAACUGACCAUUUUAUUACAGGUUGCAGGCUGUGUAUAACUCUCCUUGCCCAUUUUAGAGGCAUUAAAUGAAAACGGAUAAAUUAUUAGAGAUUACUGGGCACUGCGAAAGAAAUAAUUGUGUUGCUUUUAUUCCUGAAAAUACAGAAAAAUCACUGUGUUUAACUGUUGUCAUAAUCGAAAUUUGAUUCCAUUCACAAACUCAAAACGGCACUUUUAUUGCUUCUCCGUCUCUCCUGCCCAUUUCAUUCUCAACAUCAUCUGACAGAACUUUAUACAAAUCUCCUAAGGACAAACAUUUCCAGUUUCACUUUUUUUCUUCCCCCAGAUAAAUCACAGUAAAUGUGGUGUUCUUAUUUCAUCUCAGAUUUAAAAAAAAGAAAACAAACCUCCCUCAGCAGAUGAAACAAAACAACCAAACUCAGACAGCAAAGAGGCACACACAACAUCUGAGAUUAAUAGACCCUAUUUCGUCUCAAAGCGCUUUCUUGAUAUAAACGAUACAUAAGGGUCACCCCACACACCACUGAAACGUAGCCUCCUCUGAGGCACAGAAACUAUAUAACCCGGAGAAACACUCACUCCUUCUUGAGGGCAAGGGGAAGUGACUUUUUGUACUGUGGUAGCUCAGAGCUUCACCCUGACCCAAUAUCCUUCAAAUCUUCUGCAAGCUGAAGAUGGAAUAAAGCAACGGCUCUAGAACCCCUCUGGGUUCAGCAGAUCAAUCCAACAACUAAUUAAACCAGAAGCAGGGGAAAGAU